CAGUAGCCGCGGGAAUACGAAGGGGGCUAGCGUUGUUCGGAAUUACUGGGCGUAAAGCGCACGUAGGCGGACAUUUAAGUCAGGGGUGAAAGCCCUGGGCUCAACCUGGGAAUUGCAGUGGAUACUGGGUCACUAGAGUGUGGUAGAGGAUAGUGGAAUUUCCGGUGUAGCAGUGAAAUGCGUAGAGAUCGGAAGGAACAUCUGUGGCGAAGGCGACUAUCUGGGCCAACACUGACACUGAGGCACGAAAGCGUGGGGAGCAAACAGGAUUAGAUACCCCUGUAGUCCCUGUCUCUUAUAC
This 301-nucleotide ribosomal RNA is filed under the name uncultured bacterium. Its description in RNAcentral is "partial 16S ribosomal RNA". It matches the Rfam family "Bacterial small subunit ribosomal RNA", at positions 509 to 807 of the family's 1533-position model. The record is from RNAcentral.